Molecule: ribosomal RNA, 979 nt
Filed under: Escherichia coli
Lineage: Bacteria; Pseudomonadati; Pseudomonadota; Gammaproteobacteria; Enterobacterales; Enterobacteriaceae
Description: partial 23S ribosomal RNA
Rfam family: Bacterial large subunit ribosomal RNA
Source: RNAcentral
CGAGGAAAAGAAAUCAACCGAGAUUCCCCCAGUAGCGGCGAGCGAACGGGGAGGAGCCCAGAGCCUGAAUCAGUGUGUGUGUUAGUGGAAGCGUCUGGAAAGGCGCGCGAUACAGGGUGACAGCCCCGUACACAAAAAUGCACAUAUUGUGAGCUCGAUGAGUAGGGCGGGACACGUGGUAUCCUGUCUGAAUAUGGGGGGACCAUCCUCCAAGGCUAAAUACUCCUGACUGACCGAUAGUGAACCAGUACCGUGAGGGAAAGGCGAAAAGAACCCCGGCGAGGGGAGUGAAAAAGAACCUGAAACCGUGUACGUACAAGCAGUGGGAGCACGCUUAGGCGUGUGACUGCGUACCUUUUGUAUAAUGGGUCAGCGACUUAUAUUCUGUAGCAAGGUUAACCGAAUAGGGGAGCCGAAGGGAAACCGAGUCUUAACUGGGCGUUAAGUUGCAGGGUAUAGACCCGAAACCCGGUGAUCUAGCCAUGGGCAGGUUGAAGGUUGGGUAACACUAACUGGAGGACCGAACCGACUAAUGUUGAAAAAUUAGCGGAUGACUUGUGGCUGGGGGUGAAAGGCCAAUCAAACCGGGAGAUAGCUGGUUCUCCCCGAAAGCUAUUUAGGUAGCGCCUCGUGAAUUCAUCUCCGGGGGUAGAGCACUGUUUCGGCAAGGGGGUCAUCCCGACUUACCAACCCGAUGCAAACUGCGAAUACCGGAGAAUGUUAUCACGGGAGACACACGGCGGGUGCUAACGUCCGUCGUGAAGAGGGAAACAACCCAGACCGCCAGCUAAGGUCCCAAAGUCAUGGUUAAGUGGGAAACGAUGUGGGAAGGCCCAGACAGCCAGGAUGUUGGCUUAGAAGCAGCCAUCAUUUAAAGAAAGCGUAAUAGCUCACUGGUCGAGUCGGCCUGCGCGGAAGAUGUAACGGGGCUAAACCAUGCACCGAAGCUGCGGCAGCGACGCUUAUGCGUUGUUGGGUA